RNAcentral lists this ribosomal RNA (253 nucleotides) under uncultured bacterium. Its description in RNAcentral is "partial 16S ribosomal RNA". It matches the Rfam family "Bacterial small subunit ribosomal RNA", at positions 524 to 776 of the family's 1533-position model. The record is from RNAcentral.
UACAGAGGGCCCGAGCGUUGUUCGGAUUCAUUGGGCGUAAAGGGUGCGUAGGCGGCGGGGAAAGUCUGAUGUGAAAUCCUGGGGCUCAACCCUGGAACUGCAUUGGAUACUUCCUUGCUAGAGUACUGGAGAGGAAACUGGAAUUUACGGUGUAGCAGUGAAAUGCGUAGAGAUCGUAAGGAAGACCAGUGGCGAAGGCGAGUUUCUGGACAGUUACUGACACUGAGGCACGAAGGCCAGGGGAGCAAACGGG